This 25-nucleotide non-coding RNA is filed under the name Drosophila melanogaster (fruit fly). RNAcentral also lists the same sequence under 6 other names. Lineage: Eukaryota; Metazoa; Arthropoda; Insecta; Diptera; Drosophilidae. The record is from RNAcentral.
GGUUCAGUGGUAGAAUUCUCGCCUG